RNAcentral lists this ribosomal RNA (532 nucleotides) under uncultured fungus. Its description in RNAcentral is "SSU rRNA". It matches the Rfam family "Eukaryotic small subunit ribosomal RNA", at positions 109 to 644 of the family's 1831-position model. The record is from RNAcentral. Lineage: Eukaryota; Fungi.
GUUAUCGUUUAUUUGAUAGUACCUUACUACUUGGAUAACCGUGGUAAUUCUAGAGCUAAUACAUGCUAAAAACCCCGACUUCGGAAGGGGUGUAUUUAUUAGAUAAAAAACCAAUGCCCUUCGGGGCUCCUUGGUGAUUCAUAAUAACUUAACGAAUCGCAUGGCCUUGUGCCGGCGAUGGUUCACUCAAAUUUCUGCCCUAUCAACUUUCGAUGGUAUGGUCUUGGCUUACCAUGGUUUCAACGGGUAACGGGGAAUUAGGGUUCUAUUCCGGAGAGGGAGCCUGAGAAACGGCUACCACAUCCAAGGAAGGCAGCAGGCGCGCAAAUUACCCAAUCCCGACACGGGGAGGUAGUGACAAUAAAUACUGAUACAGGGCUCUUUUGGGUCUUGUAAUUGGAAUGAGUACAAUUUAAAUCCCUUAACGAGGAACAAUUGGAGGGCAAGUCUGGUGCCAGCAGCCGCGGUAAUUCCAGCUCCAAUAGCGUAUAUUAAAGUUGUUGCAGUUAAAAAGCUCGUAGUUGAACCUUGG